AGUCGAACGGUAACAGGCCGCAAGGUGCUGACGAGUGGCGAACGGGUGAGUAAUGCAUCGGAACGUGCCCAGUCGUGGGGGAUAACGCAGCGAAAGCUGUGCUAAUACCGCAUACGAUCUAUGGAUGAAAGCGGGGGACCGUAAGGCCUCGCGCGAUUGGAGCGGCCGAUGUCAGAUUAGCUAGUUGGUGGGGUAAAGGCCCACCAAGGCGACGAUCUGUAGCUGGUCUGAGAGGACGACCAGCCACACUGGGACUGAGACACGGCCCAGACUCCUACGGGAGGCAGCAGUGGGGAAUUUUGGACAAUGGGCGCAAGCCUGAUCCAGCAAUGCCGCGUGCAGGAAGAAGGCCUUCGGGUUGUAAACUGCUUUUGUACGGAACGAAACGGUCCUGGUUAAUACCUGGGGCUAAUGACGGUACCGUAAGAAUAAGCACCGGCUAACUACGUGCCAGCAGCCGCGGUAAUACGUAGGGUGCAAGCGUUAAUCGGAAUUACUGGGCGUAAAGCGUGCGCAGGCGGUUUUGUAAGACAGGCGUGAAAUCCCCGGGCUCAACCUGGGAAUGGCGCUUGUGACUGUAAAGCUGGAGUGCGGCAGAGGGGGAUGGAAUUCCGCGUGUAGCAGUGAAAUGCGUAGAUAUGCGGAGGAACACCGAUGGCGAAGGCAAUCCCCUGGGCCUGCACUGACGCUCAUGCACGAA
This 700-nucleotide ribosomal RNA is filed under the name uncultured Hydrogenophaga sp. RNAcentral describes it as "bacterial SSU rRNA". It matches the Rfam family "Bacterial small subunit ribosomal RNA", at positions 60 to 757 of the family's 1533-position model. Lineage: Bacteria; Pseudomonadati; Pseudomonadota; Betaproteobacteria; Burkholderiales; Comamonadaceae. The record is from RNAcentral.